CAACUAUGGCUCACUCUGCCACUUUGUCCUAACCAGGGUUAAGUGGCCUCCCGGCAGAAGCCCUACUUGCUCUAUUUUCUAGACCCAUUGUUGCACAAGAAUAGUUUUGCACUUCAGGUUGGAUCUUUUUUCCUUUAAUAAGCAUCUUCUAGUUGGUCUUUUCUGAGAGGUACCAUCAGUGAACUCCUCCAAGUACUCACUGAGUGUCUUUUCACUUCCUCUUACUGUGGCUUCUGCCCAGUCAUGGCAGCUUUUGACCGACUUAUGUGUAUUUUAGUCUUGCAUUACAUUCAUCUUUGAAUUUUCCUGGAAAUCAUAAGCAUUUCAUUUUGUUCUCCAUCUUGCUUUUGUAUAUUUUCAGGAGAAGGAGGAAGAAAAUUCUGACUUGUGAGGUGAUGUUCAAGCCUGAAGUCCAGUAAACACCUUGAUAGAGGCAUUACGGUCCCAGCGUGGAAAGUGUCCGGGUACCUGACACGCAGACAGGCCCUCUUCUGCUGGGCCAUCCAGAUCCUUAGUGACCCUCCAUGUGGCAAAUGGGACAGGAGAUUUCUUUCCCUGGGAAGAGUCCGUGGAUUCUCCUGGCUGGGGUUUUAGGAAAGGAAGUCGCAUGCCUGUGCCCACCAUCGCCUGACAAGUAAGCCUUUUCAUCUGGGCAGCUCCGUGCUCUCACUCACCCC
RNAcentral lists this long non-coding RNA (677 nucleotides) under Sus scrofa (pig). Its description in RNAcentral is "lncRNA (ENSSSCG00070012007.1)". The record is from RNAcentral. Lineage: Eukaryota; Metazoa; Chordata; Mammalia; Artiodactyla; Suidae.